RNAcentral lists this ribosomal RNA (253 nucleotides) under uncultured bacterium. Its description in RNAcentral is "partial 16S ribosomal RNA". It matches the Rfam family "Bacterial small subunit ribosomal RNA", at positions 524 to 776 of the family's 1533-position model. The record is from RNAcentral.
UACGUAGGGUGCAAGCGUUAAUCGGAAUUACUGGGCGUAAAGCGUGCGCGGGCGGUUUUGUAAGUCUGUCGUGAAAGCCCCGGGCUCAACCUGGGAACUGCAUUUGUGACUGCAAGGCUAGAGUACGGCAGAGGGGGAUGGAAUUCCGCGUGUAGCAGUGAAAUGCGUAGAUAUACGGAGGAACACCAAUGGCGAAGGCAAUCCCCUGGGCCUGUACUGACGCUCAUGCACGAAAGCGUGGGGAGCAAACAGG